CCAUCAACCAAAAGAACUGAAACUGGUGAUGAGCUGCACUGAGGAAGAUCCUGCCUCCUUGGCCAUCAGCGCUCAUCCACAAGCAAGUGAGAAGCACACGGGUGGCAUUGAGGAUGCUGCAGAACCAAGUAUGGCAAGAAUUUCACAGUG
Long non-coding RNA from Microtus oregoni (creeping vole), 150 nucleotides. RefSeq lists it as uncharacterized. The record is from RefSeq and is a predicted model, not a curated record. The transcript has 3 exons. NCBI's taxonomy places the organism in Eukaryota, Metazoa, Chordata, Mammalia, Rodentia, Cricetidae.